Long non-coding RNA from Dermochelys coriacea (leatherback sea turtle), 1030 nucleotides. RefSeq lists it as uncharacterized. The record is from RefSeq and is a predicted model, not a curated record. NCBI's taxonomy places the organism in Eukaryota, Metazoa, Chordata, Testudines, Dermochelyidae. The transcript has 2 exons.
GGGCACAGAGGAAGCAGAAGGUCUGGUAUGACCGCUCCGCACGUGCCCGCUCCUAUGAUACCGGGGACCAGAUGAUGCUUCUCAUACCUGUGAGGAAGAACAAGCUGCAACCUGCCUGGGAUGGCCCCUUCAAGGUCAUCAGACAGGACUGAAUGUCUUGUAAAAUAUAGAAGAUACAUUGGGACAGAAGUUCAAAUUACUCCAACCUGGGAAAAUCCAUUGGCUUUCUCAUGAGCGAUCCUUGGCUGUUGUCUUAAAAUUACUGCAACCAUUAUUGGUGGCUUUGGAAAGUAUCUACCGAGAUGGGACGGAUCUAAGUAGUAAGGCUGGUGGACUACUUUUGCUACUAAAUUCAUAGAACACAAUCGCCAUUCUCUCUUAUAAGUCUACUGUUGAAACCACUUAGGUCAUUAAACAAUGCCAUCCAGACAUCUGCUACAAUAGUAAUAGAUCUCUGUCCAGCACUGGAAGCUACACUUGGAUCAGAGUGAUAUCCAUUGAAAACAUACUGGAAGAAGCAAAGACUUCAGUUCAGAAGUUAACUAAUUAAGGCACUUAUAUUAACUGCUUAAAUGAAGAAGACAAGAAGUGUUUGUUAAGCCAGCUGAAAAAGUAAAGUACACAGACUUGAUUCUUACAUCUCUACACAACUACUUUUGGAUUCCAUCAACCUAGCUUUUACAGAUGCCUGUCUUAUAAAACACCAACAGUUGAGUGGAAUGAGGCACUACCAGCAAUGGGGCUGCCAUAUGACCACUACAGAAUAGAGAAUUUGAACACAGAGAGGAAUAUUGUCUGAUGAAUGAAUGCAGAUUUGAUUUCAACUUCUUCAUCAUCACUAAUAGUUCGACCCAAUUUUUGUGCUGUUUCCUGGGAUGAAAGAAGUAGGAAUUCAUCUCUUUCUACUCCCAGUCACAACAGCUACAGUUGAGUGUUCUUUUUCCUCAUUGAAUAGAAUUUUGUGUUCUGAAAGAAGUCGCCUUCUGCCUGAUCAUGAGAAUAUCAUGAAGGACUGAAAGUACCUGACACA